RNAcentral lists this ribosomal RNA (670 nucleotides) under Methylobacterium sp. ARG-1. Its description in RNAcentral is "bacterial LSU rRNA". It matches the Rfam family "Bacterial large subunit ribosomal RNA", at positions 1 to 653 of the family's 2925-position model. The record is from RNAcentral. Lineage: Bacteria; Pseudomonadati; Pseudomonadota; Alphaproteobacteria; Hyphomicrobiales; Methylobacteriaceae.
GAGCGAUCAAGUGCCUUAAGAGCAUUCGGUGGAUGCCUUGGCGCUGAGAGGCGAUGAAGGACGUGGUACGCUGCGAUAAGCCUUGGGGAGCUGCGAACGAGCUUUGAUCCAGGGAUUUCCGAAUGGGGGAACCCACCUUCGACCUUCCGUAUGGCGGCUGCAGACAGAUCCUCGGAUCGGCCUGCAGCUCUCAUACGGUUGGUCAUGUGAAGGUAUCAAAUCCUGAAUCCAUAGGGGUUUGAAGCGAACCCGGGGAACUGAAACAUCUCAGUACCCGGAGGAAAGGACAUCAACGAGACUCCGUCAGUAGUGGCGAGCGAACGCGGAUCAGGCCAGUGCCUGUGUUGAGUUUACCGGAACGGUCUGGAAAGGCCGGCGCGAUGGGUGACAGCCCCGUACGGGACGGACGACACACAGGACUCGAGUAGGGCGGGACACGUGAAAUCCUGUCUGAACAUGGGGGGACCACCCUCCAAGCCUAAGUACUCCUCAGCGACCGAUAGCGAACCAGUACCGUGAGGGAAAGGUGAAAAGCACCCCGACGAGGGGAGUGAAACAGCACCUGAAACCGGAUGCUUACAAACAGUGGGAGCUCAAGGUUCGUCCUGAGUGACCGCGUACCUUUUGUAUAAUGGGUCAGCGACUUAAAGUUACGAGCGAGCUUAAGCCG